Sarcophilus harrisii (Tasmanian devil) is the source of this 536-nucleotide long non-coding RNA. RefSeq lists it as uncharacterized. NCBI's taxonomy places the organism in Eukaryota, Metazoa, Chordata, Mammalia, Dasyuromorphia, Dasyuridae. The transcript has 4 exons. The record is from RefSeq and is a predicted model, not a curated record.
AUCAUCAAUGGGAGGUGUCUCCUUCUCUAACUGGCUGUGCAUGUGACCUCAUAGACCCCAUAUAAGGAGUGGGGACAAGGAAGUAGGGCUAGGGCAGGAGGUGAACACAUGGAAUAAAGAUCUUAAGCUUAUAUGCAGCUGGCCUCUGUUGAAUGAUGGCCAGAGAUUCUGAAGACCUCUGAUUGAGAUCUCUUGAUUAUAGGAGUCAAAAGCAUGAGAGUGGGGCGGGAAGGAGUUCAGGAGCAAGGCAACUUCUUUUCUUCACCAAGGAGACAUAAAUAUGUAAACUCAGAACAAGAAGAAAACUGCAAGAAGAAAGUGUUGCUUCUCCAAGGACAUGUUUCUUCUCUGUGAUCACUUCUGAUCCACACUGGUUGGUCUGGCACCUGAGAGUAGGAGAAGCCUUGUCCUUCAUUCUUUCCCUCCUUAUCUGUUUAAUAUUCUUUAUGAAGUAAAAAUAUGUAAGAAGAAAGUUCCUGAGUCUGUGAAAUGAAAGUUUGUGACAUGGAAUUUCUAGAGGCAAGAAUGAGGUGAAA